This 307-nucleotide unclassified non-coding RNA is filed under the name Hevea brasiliensis (rubber tree). The record is from RNAcentral. Lineage: Eukaryota; Viridiplantae; Streptophyta; Magnoliopsida; Malpighiales; Euphorbiaceae.
CUUCCCUCAAUGAAGCUUGUCCGUGAUACAGACAAGUUCACAGAGUAAUUUCAAUUUUGUGGUAGAUACUAGAUUAUAUAAUAACAGUUGCUUCACUUGAUGCUUUCCAAAAUUUAGCCAAGCAUGUUUAUCCAUUCGUGGAAUUGAAUCCAUACUAGCUCUGUGCCAUUUUUAUAUAAUUUAUUUUAAGAGUACGCAAUAACUAUGAACACACUUUGUUCCACUCUCUAUAUUGCUUCUUACACUCAUGUGAUAUUUGCAGAAUGUAUAUCAUUUAUGGUUUUUUUUUGAAGCUUCUUGAAGAAAA